AACGAACGCUGGCGGCAGGCUUAACACAUGCAAGUCGAACGAGAUCUUCGGAUCUAGUGGCAGACGGGUGAGGAACACGUGGGAACAUCCCUUUCAGUUCGGAAUAACGUUGGGAAACUAACGCUAAUACCGGAUACGUCCUUCGGGAGAAAGAUUUAUCGCUGAAAGAUUGGCCCGCGUCUGAUUAGCUAGUUGGUGAGGUAACGGCUCACCAAGGCUACGAUCAGUAGCUGAUCUGAGAGGAUGAUCAGCCACAUUGGGACUGAGACACGGCCCAAACUCCUACGGGAGGCAGCAGUGUGGAAUAUUGGACAAUGGGCGCAGGCCUGAUCCAGCCAUGCCGCGUGAGUGAUGACGGCCUUCGGGUUGUAAAGCCCUUUUGUCCGGGAAGAUAAUGACUGUACCGGAAGAAUAAGCCCCGGCAAACUUCGUGCCAGCAGCCGCCGUAA
This 449-nucleotide ribosomal RNA is filed under the name uncultured bacterium. RNAcentral's name for it is "partial 16S ribosomal RNA". It matches the Rfam family "Bacterial small subunit ribosomal RNA", at positions 29 to 523 of the family's 1533-position model. The record is from RNAcentral.